Molecule: ribosomal RNA, 526 nt
Filed under: Bos grunniens (domestic yak)
Lineage: Eukaryota; Metazoa; Chordata; Mammalia; Artiodactyla; Bovidae
Description: partial 16S ribosomal RNA
Rfam family: Bacterial large subunit ribosomal RNA
Source: RNAcentral
UUGCCUGCCCAGUGACAACUGUUUAACGGCCGCGGUAUCCUGACCGUGCAAAGGUAGCAUAAUCAUUUGUUCUCUAAAUAAGGACUUGUAUGAAUGGCCACACGAGGGUUUUACUGUCUCUUACUUCCAAUCAGUGAAAUUGACCUUCCCGUGAAGAGGCGGGAAUGCAUAAAUAAGACGAGAAGACCCUAUGGAGCUUUAACUAACCAACCCAAAGAAAAUAAAUUUAACCAUUGAGGAACAACAACAAUCUCCAUGAGUUGGUAGUUUCGGUUGGGGUGACCUCGGAGAAUAAAAAAUCCUCCGAACGAUUUUAAAGACUAGACCCACAAGUCAAAUCACUCUAUCGCUCAUUGAUCCAAAAAUUUGAUCAACGGAACAAGUUACCCUAGGGAUAACAGCGCAAUCCUAUUUAAGAGUCCAUAUCGACAAUAGGGUUUACGACCUCGAUGUUGGAUCAGGACAUCCUGAUGGUGCAACCGCUAUCAAAGGUUCGUUUGUUCAACGAUUAAAGUCCUACAUGAUC